GGGCUCUUCCUCCGUAGCCUGGCGGAACGCAAACGGGUUAGGCCGCGUGUGUACCCCGGUUCGAGUCCCUGCUCGAAUCAGGCUGGAGCCGCGACUAACGUGGUAUUGGCACUCCCGUCUCGACCCGAGCCCGAUAGCCGCCAGGAUACGGCGGAGAGUCCUUUU
This 165-nucleotide non-coding RNA is filed under the name Human mastadenovirus D. The record is from RNAcentral. Lineage: Varidnaviria; Bamfordvirae; Preplasmiviricota; Pharingeaviricetes; Rowavirales; Adenoviridae.